Molecule: unclassified non-coding RNA, 392 nt
Filed under: soil metagenome
Description: partial contains 5.8S ribosomal RNA, internal transcribed spacer 2, and large subunit ribosomal RNA
Rfam family: 5.8S ribosomal RNA (bases 1-122)
Source: RNAcentral
GAUGAAGAACGCAGCGAAAAGCGAUACUUGGUGUGAAUUGCAGAAUCCCGUGAACCAUCGAGUCUUUGAACGCAAGUUGCGCCCGAAGCCACUAGGCCGAGGGCACGCCUGCCUGGGCGUCACACGUCGUUGCCCCCCCCCAUCUACUCCUUCGGGAUUGCGGGGGGCGGAUGAUGGCCUCCCGUGCGCCUAGCCGCGCGGUUGGCAUAAAUACCAAGUCCUCGGCGACGCACGCCACGACAAUCGGUGGUUGCGAAACCUCGGUUGCCCGUCGUGUGCGUUCGUCGCGCAUCGAGGGCUCGAAAAAAUGCUCGGCUCCGGCUCGGCUUUCAACGCGACCCCAGGUCAGGCGGGGUUACCCGCUGAAUUUAAGCAUAUCAAUAAGCGGAGGA